AAAACUAGCCAGUCUUUUGGGUAUGAAACCCAUUUGGGCGAGAGUAGUACUAGGAUGGGUGACCUCCUGGGAAGUCCUCGUGAAAGGGUUC
This is a non-coding RNA of Triticum aestivum (bread wheat), 91 nucleotides long. NCBI's taxonomy places the organism in Eukaryota, Viridiplantae, Streptophyta, Magnoliopsida, Poales, Poaceae. The record is from Rfam.